This 497-nucleotide ribosomal RNA is filed under the name uncultured bacterium. RNAcentral's name for it is "partial 16S ribosomal RNA". It matches the Rfam family "Bacterial small subunit ribosomal RNA", at positions 28 to 507 of the family's 1533-position model. The record is from RNAcentral.
GAUGAACGCUGGCGGCGUGCCUAAUACAUGCAAGUCGAGCGAACGGACGAGAAGCUUGCUUCUCUGAUGUUAGCGGCGGACGGGUGAGUAACACGUGGAUAACCUAUCUAUAAGACUGGGAUAACUUCGGGAAACCGGAGCUAAUACCGGAUAAUAAUUUGAACCGCAUGGUUCAAAAGUGAAAGACGGUCUUGCUGUUACUUAUAGAUGGAUCCGCGCUGCAUUAGCUAGUUGGUAAGGUAACGGCUUACCAAGGCAACGAUGCAUAGCCGACCUGGGAGGGUGAUCGGCCACACUGGAACUGAGACACGGUCCAGACUCCUACGGGAGGCAGCAGUAGGGAAUCUUCCGCAAUGGGCGAAAGCCUGACGGAGCAACGCCGCGUGAGUGAUGAAGGUCUUCGGAUCGUAAAACUCUGUUAUUAGGGAAGAACAUAUGUGUAAGUAACUGUGCACAUCUUGACGGUACCUAAUCAGAAAGCCACGGCUAACUACGUG